RNAcentral lists this long non-coding RNA (1055 nucleotides) under Anser brachyrhynchus (Pink-footed goose). Its description in RNAcentral is "lncRNA (ENSABRG00000000586.1)". Lineage: Eukaryota; Metazoa; Chordata; Aves; Anseriformes; Anatidae. The record is from RNAcentral.
CACAAAUUGAGAUUUGACCAAUACUGAUAACAAAAAAGUCUCAAGGUAUAAACUCAUAGUGCUAUCAAACUUUUCAAGUAAAGGGUCAGUGGGUUUCUUGGUAGAUUUGCAUGAGGACAGUUUCUGAUGAAGAUGAAGAAAGAGUCAGGAGCCGAGGUGGGUUUGGCUGGACCUGGCAGUGGACUGGACGGAUAGGACACUCAUGUCGUGGAUGCUCAUCCCUGCAGCAGUGCCAGCAAACUGUAGCGUCAGUGUCAUUUGGUCCUGUCCUCAGCAAGCACAGCUUGCUGCUCAUCGUGCUGUUCACCAUCACAGGAAAGGACAUUUUCUCUGCUUGGUGCUGUCAGGUUGCACAUUGAAGCAACUAAUUGUAUGGAAUAGGCAUUGUGUAAGGUUAGAAGAAACCUGACUCUCUGAAAGGUUUCAGAGGGGAGGUUUUGGCACCAUAGAACCCAUGACUGGGAAAUGAUUGUAUUAGCUAGCUGUAUCUCCUCUAGAUACAAAUUGCAUCCAGCUGCCUGGCCAACAAAAGGGUGAAAAGAGGAGGAAUGCUGACCACACCUUUCCUCAAGCUGUUGAUUCCCUUUUCUUUUUUUCUUUUUCUUUUUUUUUUUCUUCUUUUUUAUUUUCUGCUGAGACAAGGCAGGAAACACAAUUUAAGUUGCCAGGGUGUUGAUACACACUGGCUGUGGUCUCCAGCUCAUUACUGUGGUCAGAGAAGUGCUUGCGGUGAGAUAUUUCACUCACUCCAGAGAAACUACAUACAUCAAAGCCCUUCCCCAAAGCCAUAUGGAAGUAGGAUUAAGGACCAUAGUGAUAUUCAGUGGCCUCAGACAAGAUGGAGACGAGACCCACUGUCUGCAACUGCAGCAGGAGGCAGCCAGGAGAGUUUGCUGUGUGCUACUGACAGACUGGACAAAGAAAAUAGUCUUGUUCUCUUUUUGCACGUGGGCAACAAUGGGUUAAAUGAUUUCCCAGAGGUCACACAAAAUGUCAGCAGAAGAGGGAGAACAAAGCUUACCCUUCCUGAGUCCAGCACUACACUUCCAGUCUAA